GAGUUUGAUCCUGGCUCAGAUUGAACGCUGGCGGCGUGCCUAACACAUGCAAGUCGAGCGGUAACAGGUGUAGCAAUACAUGCUGACGAGCGGCGGACGGGUGAGUAACGCUUGGGAAUCUGCCUGUUAGUGGGGGACAACCCGGGGAAACUCGGGCUAAUACCGCAUACGCACUACGGUGGAAAGCCGGGGACCGCAAGGCCUGGCGCUAACAGAUGAGCCCAAGUCGGAUUAGCUAGUUGGUAGGGUAACGGCCUACCAAGGCGACGAUCCGUAACUGGUCUGAGAGGACGACCAGUCACACCGGAACUGAGACACGGUCCGGACUCCUACGGGAGGCAGCAGUGGGGAAUAUUGGACAAUGGGGGCAACCCUGAUCCAGCGACGCCGCGUGGGUGAAGAAGGCCUGCGGGUUGUAAAGCCCUUUCGGUUGGAAGAAAAGUUGCGGCUAACAUGUCGUGACCUUGACGUAACCAACUAAAGAAGCACCGGCUAACUCUGUGCCAGCAGCCGCCGCGGU
Molecule: ribosomal RNA, 520 nt
Filed under: uncultured Gammaproteobacteria bacterium
Lineage: Bacteria; Pseudomonadati; Pseudomonadota; Gammaproteobacteria
Description: bacterial SSU rRNA
Rfam family: Bacterial small subunit ribosomal RNA
Source: RNAcentral